RNAcentral lists this ribosomal RNA (94 nucleotides) under Caerostris darwini. The record is from RNAcentral. Lineage: Eukaryota; Metazoa; Arthropoda; Arachnida; Araneae; Araneidae.
UAUAUACCGGUUCUCGUUAGAUCACCGAAGUCAAGCAUCAUUGGGCGCGGUCAGUACUUGGGUGGGGGACCACCUGGGAACACCGCGUGCCGUU